This 65-nucleotide transfer RNA is filed under the name Ictidomys tridecemlineatus (thirteen-lined ground squirrel). RNAcentral describes it as "Spermophilus tridecemlineatus (thirteen-lined ground squirrel) tRNA". It matches the Rfam family "tRNA". Rfam says of the family: Transfer RNA (tRNA) molecules are approximately 80 nucleotides in length. Their secondary structure includes four short double-helical elements and three loops (D, anti-codon, and T loops). Further hydrogen bonds mediate the characteristic L-shaped molecular structure. tRNAs have two regions of fundamental functional importance: the anti-codon, which is responsible for specific mRNA codon recognition, and the 3' end, to which the tRNAs corresponding amino acid is attached (by aminoacyl-tRNA synthetases). tRNAs cope with the degeneracy of the genetic code in two manners: having more than one tRNA (with a specific anti-codon) for a particular amino acid; and 'wobble' base-pairing, i.e. permitting non-standard base-pairing at the 3rd anti-codon position. Lineage: Eukaryota; Metazoa; Chordata; Mammalia; Rodentia; Sciuridae. The record is from Rfam by way of RNAcentral.
GUUGUGGCUCAGUGGCAGAGCACUUGCCUAGCAUGUGUGAGGCACUGGGUUCGAUUCUCAGCAAC